Molecule: long non-coding RNA, 9331 nt
Organism: Cercocebus atys (sooty mangabey)
Lineage: Eukaryota; Metazoa; Chordata; Mammalia; Primates; Cercopithecidae
Exons: 3
Source: RefSeq, a predicted model, not a curated record
UGCUGGAAAAAAAAAGAAAACAAUAUGUCUUUUAUAACCUUUUUGUGUAGUUCUGCUGGUGAUAAAAGCUUUUAAUAUUUUGUGUCAGAAAAAGUCUUUGUUUCAAAAGAUUAUUUUCACUAGGUAUAGAACUCUAGGUUGCCUGUUUUUUUUUCACUUUCACUGCUUUAAAGAUGUUGGGCACUAUCCUCCUCCUUGAAUUGUUUUUGACAAGGAAUCUUUUAUUUUUUCUUUUGAUCUUCUGUAUGUAAAAUAUCUUAUCUUUUAAGACAUUUAAGAGUUAUUUUUUAUCACUGGCUUUAAGAAACUUGAUGUACUUAGCAUAUUUUGUUUUCAUGUUUCUUGUGCUUGGGGUUUGUGGGGCUUCUUAGAUGGGUGAGUUUAUAGUUUCCAUCAAAUUCUGAAUAGUUUCAGCCAUUAAUAAAGUUUCCUUUUUUUUUCUAUCACACACUCUGCCUCUCUGGGGACUCCAACUGCAUGUUUAUUCAGAGACUUAGAGUUGUCCCACAACUCACUGACACUCUGCUCAUUUUUCUUUUCACUCUUUAUUUUAUGUGUGCUUUAUUAAGGGUCAUUUCAUUGCGAGGACUUCACAGUGUUGAAUCUGCCAUUAAUCCCAUCCAAUGUAUCUUUCAUGUCAUAUGUUAUAUAGCUCUCAACUGCAGAAUUUUGACUUGGGUCUUUUGUAUCACAUUUGGCAUGUUCGGUCUUUUCUCUAGCUUCUUCAACGUGUGAAAUUGUUACUUUCUUUUAAUUCCUUGUGGACUAAGUCUAUCGUCUGUGUCAUUUCUUGGAAAUUUUCAACUGGCUGAUUUUUUCCUUCAUUAUGGGUCAUAUUUUCCUGCUUCUUUGUAUGCCUGGUAACUCUUUAUUGGAUGCCAGACAUAGUGGACUGGCUGGAUAUUUUUGUAUUCCUAAAAAUACCCUUGAGUUAAGUUACUUGGAAAUAGUUUGACCCUUUCGAGUCUUGCUUUUAAGCUUUAUUCGGCAGGAACAGAACAGUAUUUAGCCUAGGGCUAAUUUUGCUUUACUAUUGAGGCAAAACCUUUCAGUACUAUACCUAAUGCCCAUAAAUUAUAAAGUUCAAGAACAGGCAAAACUAACUUAUGCCAAAAGAAAUCAGAAUAGUGAUUGACGGUAGGGUGUGGAUAUGGGAAUUUUCUGGUAUAUUGCUUAUACAAAUAUACCUAUUAAAAUUCAUCAAACUGCUCAAAAUCUGUGCAUAUCACUAUUAUAUUCAUUUUACCUCAAUAAAAAUCAAGUUUGGUAUCAAAUAUAUGUGUACAUAAUUCAGUGCUGAAAAGAUUUAUACUAAAAUUUCAAUAGUGAAGAAUAUCAGGUAGUUUUCUAAUUGGCUUCUGAAUAUUUUCAUGUUAUGUAAAUUUUCAAUAUAUAUAAUCUUCUAAAAAUACAUAAAACUAAUAUUUAAUGAAACCAUUUAAAGGGGACUCUCUACCUUGUAGAAUGUUUUUUGGGCAUUUGCCAUGUAUCAGGUCCUUUGAAAGUCACUUUAUUACAUGAUUCUAUUUAAACAAUAUAACAACUCUAUCAAGUAGGUAUUACCCCAUUUGCAAAAGAGAAAAUCGUGAUUCAGACUUGUAGUUACGUGUCCAAGGACCCUCAAUUUGAUCUUAGGUCUGCCUGCUUCUGAAGUCGGUAUUUUGAUUCUAAGAGAAUUAAGCCCUCAAGAUGGAUUUCUGAUAUUCAGAGAGUAAAGAAUGCUUGGCAGGAUGGAAGAAUCCCAGAAAUAUAUUACUGUCUAUGAGCAUAGGAAUUGGCACAUUGGAUUCUGGGAGUUAACUGUUAAAAUGGAAAAGUGAAUUAUCCAAAUGUCAGAGUCACAAAUCAAGCACAGUUAAUCUGAAACCCAAGAAAGUCUGACCUGAGACAAGGAAAGAGGUGGGUGGCUCAGAGAAAAUCCAAAAAAACAAAACAAAACAAAACUAGAUCAAGCAUGGUGAGAGAGGGAAGAAAAGUGUUCCUUCCUUAUAACCUGUAGACAAGUUAUAAAAACAAGGGUUGUUUUGUCCCCUCUUGGAGUAAAACCUCAGAGACCAAAGUUCAACGCUGUCAGGUUACAGGAAUGGAAACGGUGAAUUCCCUGUAUCAGCUGCCUCCAGCCCAGGCAAGCCUGACUCACAGGUUGGUCACCUGUUUGGAAUGGGCUGCGGGAGAGCACACCCAUGAGGCUGCCCAGAGAGCAACGGGCCACAGCAGUUUCCCUGUGAACUGUGUUCAGUUGACAACUGUGAAGGAAACACUCAUUGAUCAAGUUCUUUCAGCUUGGAAUGGAGCCUCUGACUCCCAAAAAUCUCUCCCAGGACCAACUGCAGGGGGGUAGUGGAUCUAGGAUUAAGGCUGGAGCCUGAAGCACUGCUGAGAAUGGGGAGUCUGAGAGUUCCUGGAGCGGGCACUCCCCGCCUGGGAGACCCCUGCCUUGCAGGAAGGAGUCACAUAUUCCUGAAUUGGACCCCACUCAGAUGCAGAAGGCUAAGAUUUUGGAUGAGAAAAGUGGGUCAGUGAAUGGGGGAGCUGGUGGGUGGGGUGGAUGGAAGGAGGUGCCCACUCUGGAGGGCAAGAGAAAGGCACGAAAGCAUGAGGCCACACCAGGGCUGCGUUCUGGGCCAUCCCCGGGGGACUCCUGCCUAGGGGAGGGGGUGCGUCGGCUGCAGCAGCCCAGUUUUCUGGAUUUCUUUCCUUCUGAGUCCAGGUCUUCCAGAAGCCUCUCUCCUAAAUGCUCAAAUACCAGAGUAAAUGAAAACACUCUGCGGCACAAUGGUCCCUUAAGAUUUGUUUUCCAAGAUGGAAAAGAAAGGCAUUUCAGCCCUUUCACGGAUAAAAAUAACUUGCUGUUGAUUUUGAAAUCCCUUUCAUUUGUCUCCCACAGACCGGCCCCAUACAAUGGUACUUUGUGAGAGAGCUCGCUGCAUGGGCCGGCCGGGCCCCCUGUCCUCCGCCUGCCAACGGGAGGAGACGCGAGGCGCUGGGAGCUCCAGAGUGGGCGAGGACCUCGGGCAGACCCGGCGUUGCUGUUGGACAUCAUUCAGAAGUCCCCGCUCAGCGGGGGCAGCCCAAAGAGCAAAACAAACAGAGCGAGGAGUAGUGGAAAAUGCUGAGUCCUGGAGCUGGCCGGAACAGCGUUCGCCUUUCCACGCCCGGAGCCAGCCGCUCUGCCCACCUGCAGCUGCAAUAGCAAGCAGGGCCACAGCAGGCAGGGAGGCCUUGGCACCAGAGCCCGUCCAGGGCUGAGGGCAGGGAACAGACACUCCUCUCUCUUCAGACAGGCCCUCCAGAGUCCUCGCCCUGAAGGCUGAGGUCUUUUUCUUGUUCCAGGAGUCCAGUGAAAAAAUAGUUCUCAAAAAAGGGGGAAAAAGACUUUCUUGAACUGUAGUUUCAGAUUUACUAAUAGUGUCCAUUUACAUAGCACUUACGAAAUGUCAAGCCCCAACACAGAUGAAUUGGCAAUCACCGUGUCAGUCCUGCGAGGCUGGUACUGUUAUCCCCAUUUCACAGACGAAAAAAGUCAGGCACAGAGAAGUCAAGUAACUUACCCAAGAUCACAGUGCUCAACAAUGGCAGGGCCAGGAUUUAAAACCUGGUUUUAGAUUUAAAACCUAGUUUACAGUCUUAAAGGUGACUGCCUUUUCUCUUCAGCUUAUCAAAUUUCCUCUCUAGGAAUACCAGAUGUGAGAGACAAAGAGAGGAAACUCAAGAUGGAGAGUGAAGGGAAUGAAUGAGAGAGAGAAGAAUCACCAAGGACUAGAAUAACACAAAAGAUUUCUUUAAAAAGCAGGAGGCCAUCAGCCCAGGAGAAGGAGUGUGAGACCGAGGUACAGAAGUGGCAGGAAAUGCUGAACUGGGGCUGGAAGGUGUGACAGUACGAGUCAGACAGACACCUGCUCUGUCCCGUGUCCGAAACAGGAUUCCAGAAAUAAUGUGAAGAGGUUGCUUGGCAAAGGGGGCUCACACAGCUCUGGGGGAUACUGAGGAUCAGUAGCUGGAGCAGAAAAAUAGAGAAAUGAACACCUUCUUUCUUUCUAAUUACAGUCGCAGUGGAGGCAGAUGGCCAGGGCUCCUGGGAGAGACAGAUCCUGAUAAGAAGAGAGGGCCUAUGGCUGUCAUGCAGGGAGGUCUGUCACAUUCCUCUAACCCAAGAGCUCUUGUCCCCUGUCCUCUCCUCCCACCCACACUCCUUUGCACACUGUGCUCUGGAUCCAUAAAACUACUUCCAGUUUCUCCAUCAGUGUACACACUUUCUCACCUCUCAGCCCUUGGACAUGCAUUCCCCACCACUGGAACCUCUUUCCCUCUCCACUUAACUACCUGCUACUCACCUGCAGGCCACACAUUCCUUCAGGUUAGGUUCCUCCUAUGUGUCAAAUCAUAAUGUUACUUCACUGGAUGGUAUUAUCCUUUUAUUUGUCUAUAAAUUGUAAUUUACUAGAAUCAGAGUGAAGGAAAAAGUGUUUACCUUCUUCCUUAUGGUUUCCCUGCUACUGAACCCAAUGCCAACCACACAGCAUAUGCUCAAUGGAUGUUUGUUAUCUGAAUAAAUUUGCUUGGUGGCUUCACUAUGUAGGGCACCUUCUAGAUAUAACAUCCUAUAGUUCCGUAAACUGAGAUGUCAGUGACUCUGCAUUUUCAGUUUCUGCAAACUGAGAAAGAUAAGGCCUCCCACCACCCAAUGAUCCAACUUUCUUAGUCCCCCGUUCCCAGCCUAAGCACCAUUAUUCAGCAGAUUCUUAUGUCCAUCAGAACUAAUAGAAAUAAUUAUCGUGAUCGAUACUGAAUCAGCUAGAAUCAGCUUUAAACCAGGAUGCAUUGCCUAGAAAUUGGAUUAAAUUUAGCACAGCAUGGGACUAGAGACAGUGCUAAGGGAAGAGUGAGGUCUGCAUUCCAGUACCAGUGCCAUCAUUAAUGAGGUGACACUGGGAAAGUCCUCUCGCCUUUCUAAACCUUGAAUUCAUGAAUGCCUAAUUGAAGAGGUUGCACCAGAUGAUCUUUAAAGUCUCUUUUGACUCUAAAAUGUGGAAUUUUAGAAUUCUGGCAUUUGCUCCUCAUCUCAUCAUCCUCUAGGCCAUUAUUGGGUUUAAUUAGGAGACCAUGUAAAGUAUCAUGGGACCAAUAGGAACUGCUGAGUAAUUAUGCCAGGACAAGGGAGGGACUCUGAGACGAUUCCAGGUACACCAGAAUGUGUGGUCACUCUUAUUUUAAUUUUCUUUCUGGACUGGGCUUCAGGUUUUGGACUGUCACUUGUAGUUGCAGAAAGAAGGCUCUUUGGAAUUUGUGAUCAGGGCUCUGAUCUGAGAUUUCAGAGGCCACGUGCACGGGUUCCUAGAGCAGUUAACACAUGCCACCAUCAUGCGCAUGGCACACCCGGGCCCUUCCUGCUCCAAAUGGGAAAUCUGUGCUCAGAGUUAGUACAGCCUUCCAUCCAUACCCUGCUGAGUUCAUACACCCACCCCAGCCUGCCGGUGUUCCAUGAUGAGCCAGUGAAGAAAACAUAUCCCCUUGGGCUCAUGUGCACAGCUCUGUGCUAUCAUGAUGAAAACUUGGCCAUAGAGAAAACAGAUAUUUGAAUGAAAUAUCUGUUACCCCUAAACACUGGUCAUACUGGUCAUUGUCUUCACCGUCAUUCUUACCUUGUCUCAAAUAUGGAUAAGCAUCUCACAUUACAGUUGCACUGGCUGCACUGUAUUUGCAAACUUCCUUAUUCCCAUGGAAGGCAGAACAAAUGGAACAAAGUUGGUCUACCUGAGAAGCAGAUUGGCAGAGGGAUUCCCCCAAUUCAGUCACACUUGAAGUUUUGAACUUGCCUUCCCCUGAGAUCUCUAAGAAUAAUAACUCUUUCUGAUGAACACAACACAGUUCCAAAACCAUCUGGAAGCUCCCGGUCCCAUCUCUUCUUCUAAAGUUAGGAAUAUCCUUGUUCCACAGAGGCAAUCCCAGACCAAACCCAGCAUUCAUCAUUAGCUUUUCAGGCUUGUGAAGACAGUUGCCACUUCUUUGAGUAUACCUGGACAUGUGCUAUUUCUAGGUACAUCUGGGGGACGGCCUUUGACAAGAUAUAAGAAGAGUCACAGCUGAAAUUGUAGGUUUGCCUAUAAAAAGGUUAAAAAGAGCCUGUUACUGCCCAGGGCCAGCGGCUCAGGCUGACCAUGUGGAGUGGAGAGAGAAGGUCGUGACUCUCUCUUGACCCUCACUAAUUCCCACAAGAGCCUGCUGAAAACAUCCUUGUGCUGUUAAGUUGUAUCACAUGGAAUGACCAGGGCUGACCUGAUAUCAAAGCUCUGUAGAAAUGCUGUGGUCCAGAGAGCACGAGAGCCUGAGUGGCAGGGAAGAGAGAUUAGAGAUAGGACUGUAAACUCAAACGGGCUUUGGGGAUUGUGCAGCCUGUCACGAGCCUGGCUGGCCCUUGUUGAUUUCCUAGGUUGCUGUGGGCAGAUGAUCAUCGCUAUCAUUACUUUGGAUGUCAGGACGCUGAGAUACACCAGGCAAUCUGAUGCAACUGGCUUUCCCAGGGCAGAAGCAUUUGCCAGGAAAGUAGAAACAGGGAGAGGGAUUGGAACAUUGAAUAAACCAGGAAAUGGCACUGACCAAGGGACAAAGAGGCCAGAGCCACUUUACCCCUCAUUUGGGGUUCUAAAUUCUCAUCAAAGUUUUUUUUCCUCAACUUCAAACCUUGUGGCAUUUUCACCAAUUGAUCAACAACUGCCUUUAUCAGACUCCUUAAAUCUCUGCCUCACUGCAAAAAGUGCCAGGAGGAAUGCUUUUCUCUUCUGUUAGUUAGGUGAGGAUUCUCUUGGCAUGGAGGGAUCUCACAGAGUAAGGAGAUGCCAGCUGCAUGCCGAGUCAAUAUGCCCAUAAAUGCAAGGGCCAAGUCCUUAAUCCAGCCACGAGGAGGGUCAAGGAUCCCUGUAUACAAGCCAGAGAGGGGAUUCUGUACAACUAGAACUGCGUCGCAAACCACCUUCCAGAGCAGCCCCUGGGGAAAAGCAGAGGUCAAAAAGCAGUAUGGAAGUUUAAAGGCUUACUUACUGAAAGAAGCCUUUGUCCUUGUCCCGUAUUUGAUGUAUGAAAUGUACCCCUUAGUAACCAGGCCUGUGGCUCCCAGAGCUGGUGAGCCAUCAGCCAGCAUCAUCAAAAGGGACUUUUCAGAGUUCUAGGCCAGCAAUACGGCGUCAUGGAAAGAACGGGGCUUAGAAGUCAGAUGGUUCUCUGAUGAACCUGAUGACCUCUUGUACUCUCUUCCACUGUAGGCUCUAGAAUAAAAUGAGCUUCAUGCCAAAUAAACCUGGAAUGUGGAUAGAUAUCUACACAGGGGUCACAAAAUUAAAUUCUACAGGGACAAGGCAGGAAUGUCAAUGUGUGGGCCUGGCCUAUGAGAGAUAAAAUAGGAGACUGACAUGCACCUAAAGGAAGCAGCUUCAGUUCAGUGCCCAUGGUGGUUGCUAUGAAGGAAUAUGCUAGAAUCCAAAGACAUCCUAUUACCCUACUACAGUACAUUCUUCUCUUGGGUUUCCUACACUGUGAAGGCUGAAGUGCACAUCUCUAUGGUAUGGAAGCAGCCCGUGUGUGACGUCUGGUUCACAUUGUUUGCCUUAUUGUACCCAAAGCACAAAUCACAAUCGUUUCCCUUUUUAGGUUAAAAUAGUUACAUUUCAUUCAUACACCUCUGCCGAUCCACUCUUUUUUCUUUUUGUCUUGGGUGCUGUAGCUUGCUCCAAAGUUAUAGCAGUCGAGUCAGAGUAGACUUGGUUCAUUUUCUUAUCCUAUCACCUCCUGAAAGCUGUUCAAAUCUACAGAGUGUGAUCAUCACCUCCACUUUCCCUUGUGUCUCCUUCUAUCCUCACCCUGCCCGAUCUUCCCAAAUUGUGCAGUUGCUUUGAAAGAUAGUCUCCCCUCCAGACCUCCACCACUGCAGCUUCAACCAUGGUCUCAGCAGUAUUGUUAAGAGAAAUCACCAAAGCCCGGUUGCCUGAGGGUUCCUCAUCUGAACUCUAGCUCCUAGUGGGAGAAGGGUAGGCCUAAGCUGAUUUCAUUCAAGUACAUCUUGCAUCUUUGACCCUGGUGAGCAUUAAGUCAGGUACUUGGAGGGAUAACAGCAACUUGGCACUGAAGGAAAGCUCUCUGGUUGAAUCCUUGACUGAAGCAGAAACCUAUUCUCUGUGUGCUGUUUAUUCAGAAGAGUUCAAAUGUGGCCUCAGGUUGGCUCAGGAAUUGUGGCUUUGCCCAGGUUUGCAGUUGAAAACUAAAAACAAAAUGUAAGGACCUGAAGCCAUUUUUCCCAAAGUCUCCAAUAAAUGUUAGUGGCUUGACCAGGAUUCAGGGGCUGGAGGCUUCUUCGCGGCCAGUCCUGCUCCCUGACCACCAGACCACACAGUCCGUGCUUAACGUGUACUCAGCAAACCUCAAGCUCCAGGCCUGAAGAAACAGAUUUUCCAAAAACAGAGCUCUCUUUGUGAACAAUUCAGCAAAAAUUCACUUUCCAGCUGUGAGCUGGGAUUCAUGUUGCAAAUGUUGGUGUUAAUUAAAAACAUCCACCUUCUACAGUUUCAGCAACAAGGAAAAAGCACCAUGCACGAUGUGUUCCUAAGCAGUCCCCUCCAAAGCACUUAUAAAUAUGAUUUUAUUUAUGGCAUGGGUUGCUAGGGGUUCUGACAGAUAUUAUUAUUCCCAAUCUUCAGCCCCAGUGAAAGAGUUGGGGCCAAGGAGAUGGAUGUGAAGGGCCCAAGUUGCCACAGAGCAAAAUUACUAUCAAUGGUGGACACAAGAAUACUGCUCCUUUCCCACAGGAUCCACUAAAGAUGUUCAAUUUUCUGUAUUCAUAUCAGGAACGGUACCUAGCUGAAAUCAAAUGUUUAUCUGUUGAGUCAUUAAAAAUUUUCUUCACAUGGCUCUUAGUCCUUCAGACAUGAAGAAAUUAGGUCUGACAAGGCCAGGGACAUUCUACAAAGGAUGACAAAAUAUAUUCAAUGUUUGGGAUGUUUGAUGACUUCCCUAUAUUCCUAUUAUAGUUCUCACCUUAUUAGGAAAUCUUUAUCACCAAUGGUCCUGAGCUAGUGAGAUCUGAAAGACUAAACUGCAUCCCUCUGUGCUCGCCUCUGGUUGGUUGAUUUGUUCUGCUUUAAUACAUGAUCCAGACAAGAAAGAAUCAAGCCAAAGCCACAGCAUUAUGAAUGAAAUUCUUUGUUUUUAAUUUCACACAGUUUAAAAUACAAUAUGAAAUCAGGCUACAGUAUAUAAAAAACUCUCCAGCAAAAUGAUGUGCCAGCAUCAGCUACUAAAAUAAACAAACAAAAAACUCCGCCAUAAGAAUUUUUUUGCAUUU